RNAcentral lists this ribosomal RNA (497 nucleotides) under uncultured bacterium. RNAcentral's name for it is "partial 16S ribosomal RNA". It matches the Rfam family "Bacterial small subunit ribosomal RNA", at positions 28 to 507 of the family's 1533-position model. The record is from RNAcentral.
GAUGAACGCUGGCGGCGUGCCUAAUACAUGCAAGUCGAGCGAACGGACGAGAAGCUUGCUUCUCUGAUGUUAGCGGCGGACGGGUGAGUAACACGUGGAUAACCUACCUAUAAGACUGGGAUAACUUCGGGAAACCGGAGCUAAUACCGGAUAAUAUUUUGAACCGCAUGGUUCAAAAGUGAAAGACGGUCUUGCUGUCACUUAUAGAUGGAUCCGCGCUGCAUUAGCUAGUUGGUAAGGUAACGGCUUACCAAGGCAACGAUGCAUAGCCGACCUGAGAGGGUGAUCGGCCACACGGGAACUGAGAAACGGUCCAGACUCCUACGGGAGGCAGCAGUAGGGAAUCUUCCGCAAUGGGCGAAAGCCUGACGGAGCAACGCCGCGUGAGUGAUGAGGGUCUUCGGAUCGUAAAACUCUGUUAUUAGGGAAGAACAUAUGUGUAAGUAACUGUGCACAUCUUGACGGUACCUAAUCAGAAAGCCACGGCUAACUACGUG